RNAcentral lists this ribosomal RNA (253 nucleotides) under uncultured bacterium. RNAcentral describes it as "partial 16S ribosomal RNA". It matches the Rfam family "Bacterial small subunit ribosomal RNA", at positions 524 to 776 of the family's 1533-position model. The record is from RNAcentral.
UACGGAGGGUGCAAGCGUUAUCCGGAUUCACUGGGUUUAAAGGGUGCGUAGGCGGACAGGUAAGUCAGUGGUGAAAUCUCCGAGCUUAACUCGGAAACUGCCUUUGAUACUCUCUGUCUUGAAUAUGGUGGAGGUAAGCGGAAUAUGUCAUGUAGCGGUGAAAUGCUUAGAGAUGACAUAGAACACCUAUUGCGAAGGCAGCUUACUACGCCUAUAUUGACGCUGAGGCACGAAAUCGUGGGGAUCAAACAGG